RNAcentral lists this ribosomal RNA (405 nucleotides) under uncultured bacterium. RNAcentral describes it as "bacterial SSU rRNA". It matches the Rfam family "Bacterial small subunit ribosomal RNA", at positions 355 to 775 of the family's 1533-position model. The record is from RNAcentral.
CAAGGAAUCUUGGGCAAUGGGCGAAAGCCUGACCCAGCGACGCCGCGUGAGGGAUGAAGGCCUUCGGGUCGUAAACCUCUUUUGCGGGGGAAGAAGAUCUGACGGUACCCCGCGAAUAAGCCACGGCUAACUACGUGCCAGCAGCCGCGGUAAUACGUAGGUGGCAAGCGUUGUCCGGAUUUACUGGGCGUAAAGGGCUUGUAGGCGGUUUGUUAAGUCUGGUGUGAAAUCUCCCGGCUCAACCGGGAGGGGUCAUUGGAUACUGGCAGACUAGAGACGGGUAGAGGAAAGCAGAAUUCCCGGUGUAGCGGUGAAAUGCGUAGAUAUCGGGAGGAAUACCAGUGGCGAAGGCGGCUUUCUGGGCCUGUUCUGACGCUGAGGAGCGAAAGCGUGGGGAGCAAACCG